Molecule: ribosomal RNA, 764 nt
Filed under: Leucocephalophus adersi (Aders's duiker)
Lineage: Eukaryota; Metazoa; Chordata; Mammalia; Artiodactyla; Bovidae
Description: Cephalophus adersi (Aders's duiker) partial 12S ribosomal RNA
Rfam family: Bacterial small subunit ribosomal RNA
Source: RNAcentral
ACUUACACAUGCAAGCAUCCACACCCCGGUGAGAAUGCCCUCUAAAUCUCCGAGACUAAGAGGAGCGGGUAUCAAGCACACAUCCUGUAGCUCACAACACCUUGCUUAACCACACCCCCACGGGAGACAGCAGUGACAAAAAUUAAGCCAUAAACGAAAGUUUGACUAAGUUAUAUUGACCAGGGUUGGUAAAUCUCGUGCCAGCCACCGCGGUCAUACGAUUAACCCAAGCUAACAGGAAUACGGCGUAAAACGUGUUUAAGCACUAUAUCAAAUAGAGUUAAAUUUUAAUUAAACUGUAAAAAGCCAUAAUUAUAAUAAAAAUAAAUGACGAAAGUAACUCUACAACAGCCGACACACUAUAGCUAAGACUCAAACUGGGAUUAGAUACCCCACUAUGCUUAGCCCUAAACACAAAUAGUUAUAAAAACAAAAUUAUUCGCCAGAGUACUACCGGCAACAGCCUAAAACUCAAAGGACUUGGCGGUGCUUUAUACCCUUCUAGAGGAGCCUGUUCUAUAAUCGAUAAACCCCGAUAAACCUCACCAAUUCUUGCUAAUACAGUCUAUAUACCGCCAUCUUCAGCAAACCCUAAAAAGGAAUAAAAGUAAGCAUAAUCACAAUACAUAAAAACGUUAGGUCAAGGUGUAACCUAUGAAAUGGGAAGAAAUGGGCUACAUUUUCUACUACAAGAAAAGCACACGAAAGUUAUUAUGAAAUUGAUAACCAAAGGAGGAUUUAGUAGUAAACUAAGAAUAGAGUGC